GAUGAAGAACGUAGUGAAAUGCGAUAAGUAAUGUGAAUUGCAGAAUUCAGUGAAUCAUCGAAUCUUCGAACGCACCUUGCACCCUUUGGUAUUCCGAAGGGUACGCCCGUUUGAGAGUCAUUGUAAUCUCACCCCCAGAGACUUUGUUUCUGGGAGUGGACUUGGACGCUGCCGUUUCGUACGGCUCGUCUCGAAUGUCUCAGUGUGACCCGUUCAUAGGCGUCUACAGUGUGAUAGGUAUCUUCACUGUGUAGUCUCUUUUCCGAGGCGCGCUCUCGGACGUGGGCUCUGCGCUACGAACCGUCUUCGGACAAUCUCUGACAAUUUGACCUCAAAUCGGGUGGGACUACCCGCUGAACUUAAGCAUAUCAAUAAGCGGAGGA
This 383-nucleotide unclassified non-coding RNA is filed under the name soil metagenome. RNAcentral's name for it is "partial contains 5.8S ribosomal RNA, internal transcribed spacer 2, and large subunit ribosomal RNA". The stretch from base 1 to 120 matches the Rfam family "5.8S ribosomal RNA", at positions 35 to 154 of the family's 154-position model. The record is from RNAcentral.